Molecule: ribosomal RNA, 408 nt
Filed under: uncultured bacterium
Lineage: Bacteria
Description: partial 16S ribosomal RNA
Rfam family: Bacterial small subunit ribosomal RNA
Source: RNAcentral
GACGAACGCUGGCGGCGUGCUUAACACAUGCAAGUCGAACGAAGUGGCGAACGGGUGAGUAAUACGUGGGUAACCUGCCCUCCUUUUUGGGAUAAGCCUUGGAAACGGGGUCUAAUACCGAAUAAAGGGGGAUGGGCUCGCGGCCUAUGAGCUUGUUGGUGGGGUGCUGGCCUACCAAGGAGGUGACGGGUAGGCGGCCGGUGAGGGUGACCGGCAAUAUUGGGCCGGCGAUACUGCCCAGAGUGCUACGGGAGGCAGCAGUGGGGGAUAUUGCGCAAUGGGCGCAGACCUGAUGCACGUACGCCGCGUGGGGUAUGAAGGCUUUCGGGUUGGAAACCUCUUUCGCUAUCGAACCGGUAGGUAGCGAAGAAGCGCCGGCUAACUACGUGCCAGCAGCCGCGGUAAUUC